Molecule: microRNA precursor, 201 nt
Organism: Oryza sativa Japonica Group (Japanese rice)
Lineage: Eukaryota; Viridiplantae; Streptophyta; Magnoliopsida; Poales; Poaceae
Rfam family: MIR812 microRNA precursor family
Source: Rfam
AAAAAGUCAAACCGUGAGUUCCCGUGCCAACGUUUGACUAUCAUCUUAUAUGAAAUUUUUCUAUAAUUAAUAUUUUUAUUGUUGUUAGAUGAUAAAACAUGAUUAAUACUUUAUGCGCGACUUAUCUUUUUAAUUAUUUUUAUAAUUUUUUUUCAAAUAAGACGGACGGUCAAACGUUGGACACGGAAACCAGCAUUUGUC